Molecule: small nucleolar RNA, 122 nt
Organism: Onthophagus taurus
Lineage: Eukaryota; Metazoa; Arthropoda; Insecta; Coleoptera; Scarabaeidae
Product: U8 small nucleolar RNA
Source: RefSeq, a predicted model, not a curated record
UCUUCAGUAGGGUCAUUACUGAUCCACUAAAGUAAAAUGAUGACUUUGGGAUAUGAUCAAUAUUGAUUAUAAUCCGCUUGACGUUUGCUUAUAUCGCAACGGUAAACGUUCAAAAUUCUGAU